Molecule: ribosomal RNA, 896 nt
Filed under: uncultured bacterium
Lineage: Bacteria
Description: bacterial SSU rRNA
Rfam family: Bacterial small subunit ribosomal RNA
Source: RNAcentral
UAGAGUUUGAUCCUGGCUCAGGAUGAACGCUAGCGACAGGCCUAACACAUGCAAGUCGAGGGGCAUCGGGGCUAGGAGCAAUCCUUGCCGCCGGCGACCGGCGCACGGGUGAGUAACGCGUAUGCGACCUGCCCGUUGCAGGGGGAUAAUCGGGAGAAAUCCCGUCUAAUACCGCGUAAUGCCGCGGGGCUGCAUGGCCCUGCGGCCAAAGGGAGCGAUUCCGGCAACGGAUGGGCAUGCGUGACAUUAGCUAGUUGGCGGGGCAACGGCCCACCAAGGCGACGAUGUCUAGGGGUUCUGAGAGGAAGGUCCCCCACACUGGUACUGAGACACGGACCAGACUCCUACGGGAGGCAGCAGUGAGGAAUAUUGGUCAAUGGGCGCGAGCCUGAACCAGCCAAGUCGCGUGAGGGAAGACGGUCCUAUGGAUUGUAAACCUCUUUUGUCGGGGAGCAAAAGACGCCACGUGUGGCGUUCCGAGAGUACCCGAAGAAAAAGCAUCGGCUAACUCCGUGCCAGCAGCCGCGGUAAUACGGAGGAUGCGAGCGUUAUCCGGAUUUAUUGGGUUUAAAGGGUGCGCAGGCGGAAGAUCAAGUCAGCGGUAAAAUUGAGAGGCUCAACCUCUUCGAGCCGUUGAAACUGGUUUUCUUGAGUGAGCGAGAAGUAUGCGGAAUGCGUGGUGUAGCGGUGAAAUGCAUAGAUAUCACGCAGAACUCCGAUUGCGAAGGCAGCAUACCGGCGCUCAACUGACGCUCAUGCACGAAAGUGUGGGUAUCGAACAGGAUUAGAUACCCUGGUAGUCCACACAGUAAACGAUGAAUACUAAUUGUUCGGGGAGAAUGAUCCCUGAGUGAUACAGCGAAAGCGUUAAGUAUUCCACCUGGGGAGUACGCCGG